GAUGAAGAACGCAGCGAAAUGCGAUAAGUAAUGUGAAUUGCAGAAUUCAGUGAAUCAUCGAAUCUUUGAACGCACAUUGUGCCCCUUGGUAUUCCGAGGGGCAUGCCUGUUCGAGCGUCAUUAUAACCCCUCAAGCUCAGCUUGGUGUUGGGGCCUGCCGCACGGGCAGCCCUUAAAAUCAGUGGCGGUGCCAUCUGGCUCUGAGCGUAGUAAUUCUUCUCGCUAUAGAGUUCCGGUGGAUGCUUGCCAUUAACCCCCAAUUUUCUAUGGUUGACCUCGGAUCAGGUAGGGAUACCCGCUGAACUUAAGCAUAUCAAUAAGCGGAGGA
Molecule: unclassified non-coding RNA, 328 nt
Filed under: soil metagenome
Description: partial contains 5.8S ribosomal RNA, internal transcribed spacer 2, and large subunit ribosomal RNA
Rfam family: 5.8S ribosomal RNA (bases 1-120)
Source: RNAcentral